RNAcentral lists this ribosomal RNA (711 nucleotides) under Triticum aestivum (bread wheat). Its description in RNAcentral is "partial small subunit ribosomal RNA". Lineage: Eukaryota; Viridiplantae; Streptophyta; Magnoliopsida; Poales; Poaceae. The record is from RNAcentral.
AUGACAAGCCACGUGCACAGUAAGGAUGGAUCGUCUUGGUGGGUAACGGUGGUUUAUGGACCGCAAGGGGAUGAUCUUAAAUUGCAAUUCCUCACUGAUUUGCAACAAUGGAGGGCCACUUGUCCAGGGCCAUGGAUGGUGCUCAGCGACUUCAACAUGAUCACUAGUGCCGCAGAUAAAAACAAUAGCAACCUGAACCAUCACAUCAUGAGGAAAUUCAGGGAGUUCAUAGAUGACAAUGAGCUCAAAGAGCUUUACAUGCACGGAAGGAGGUUUACUUGGACCAAUGAGAGGGAUGCCCCUAUGAUGACUAAGAUUGACAGAGUGCUAGUCACUGUGGACUGGGAACUCACGUUUACAGACAAUUUGCUUCAAGUUUUGUCGACCAAUGUGUCGGAUCAUGCACUACUACACCUAUCUACCUCUGCCCCAUUCUACCAGCAGAAGAGGUUUAGGUUCGAGAUAUACUGGACCAAGCUCGAGGGAUUUGAGCAAGCUGUGAAGGAUGCUUGGGUUUGUGAUGAGGAUAUUGUCGACCCGUAUAAACGGUUGGAUGCAUUACUGAGAAACACGGCAACGACAUUGCAAGCAUGGGGUGAGAGAAAGACGGGUAACAUUAAGCUAAAGCUUGCGGUGGCGAACAAUGUGAUCCUCCGGCUAGACUGUGCGCAGGAGCGUAGAAAUCUGACACAGGAGGAACUAUGGUUAUGA